UCAUGCACGCCCACUUCAACAUUCGAAGAAUAUUCUGUCAGUUUUUCGAGAAAUCGGCAUUUUUUUCUUUUUACAAGUUUAUAAUGGGAUUUUAUUGUGGCACAACUAUCAGCUGUAGGCGCCUUCCCUCUUCAUUCAGAUUUAUUCGCAUCCACAACACCAGCGCUGGACUCUUUCCACUCAUCAGACAAAUUCGUACCGAGAAAUGAACACUCUGGAUUUCUCUCGUGGCACAUUAGAGUGCAAAGGCACGAUUAAAAUAAAAUGUUCGAAGAAAUAAAAGGAAACAUGACAUAUUUAAAGGACACGGUAAUAAAUGUCACGCUAAAACUUUAAUAGUGAGAUUAUGAUAAAUGUCCAUUAAAAAUCAUAAUCAUAUGGAUCCCAUGGUAGUCACUUAAAUUCAAUCGAUAACCAUUGAUUUUGACUUUAGCAAUAUAUUCAUGUAUCAAUAAUGGAGAUGACGGUGGGGAUAAAAUAUAUGGAAGAAAAAUGCAAGAGACAAGAGGAGGGUAUCAGCAAUAACUGACGCACGAGCCGUAAACUCACCGGUCAAUCAAUUUAAAGACCCCAUUCCUCGUGCCCAUC
Molecule: long non-coding RNA, 588 nt
Organism: Fopius arisanus
Lineage: Eukaryota; Metazoa; Arthropoda; Insecta; Hymenoptera; Braconidae
Exons: 3
Source: RefSeq, a predicted model, not a curated record